AGCGAACGCUGGCGGCAGGCCUAACACAUGCAAGUCGAACGAAGUCUUCGGACUUUGUGGCGGACGGGUGAGUAACACGUGGGAACGUGCCCUUUGGUACGGAAUAACUCAGGGAAACUUGAGCUAAUACCGUAUGUGCCCUUCGGGGGAAAGAUUUAUCGCCAUUGGAGCGGCCCGCGUCUGAUUAGCUAGUUGGUGAGGUAAAGGCUCACCAAGGCGACGAUCAGUAGCUGGUCUGAGAGGAUGAUCAGCCACAUUGGGACUGAGACACGGCCCAAACUCCUACGGGAGGCAGCAGUGGGGAAUCUUGCGCAAUGGGCGAAAGCCUGACGCAGCCAUGCCGCGUGAAUGAUGAAGGUCUUAGGAUUGUAAAAUUCUUUCACCGGGGACGAUAAUGACGGUACCCGGAGAAGAAGCCCCGGCUAACUUCGUGCCAGCCGCCGCCGUAA
This 449-nucleotide ribosomal RNA is filed under the name uncultured bacterium. RNAcentral describes it as "partial 16S ribosomal RNA". It matches the Rfam family "Bacterial small subunit ribosomal RNA", at positions 29 to 523 of the family's 1533-position model. The record is from RNAcentral.